This 253-nucleotide ribosomal RNA is filed under the name uncultured bacterium. RNAcentral describes it as "partial 16S ribosomal RNA". It matches the Rfam family "Bacterial small subunit ribosomal RNA", at positions 524 to 776 of the family's 1533-position model. The record is from RNAcentral.
UACGGGGGGAGCAAGCGUUGUUCGGAAUUACUGGGUGUAAAGGGUUCGUAGGCGGUGCGGCAAGUCGGGAGUGAAAUCUCUGGGCUCAACCCAGAGGCUGCUUCCGAAACUGCUGUGCUUGAGUGUGGGAGGGGCGCGUGGAAUUGCAGGUGUAGCGGUGAAAUGCGUAGAUAUCUGCAGGAACACCCGUGGCGAAAGCGGCGCGCUGGACCACUACUGACGCUGAAGAACGAAAGCUAGGGGAGCAAACAGG